CGGCCCCGCUCUGUUCCGCUUCUUGAAGGAUGUACAAGCUGCGGUACGCGAUCCCUGUGGUCUGUAAGCGUUGAGGAUAUUCUGCUCCGCGGGUAUUUGCAUCUCGGAGUUAGGCAGUCGCAGUCGCUUCUUAGCGGGAAGUGUAUCGGGUUCACCGCUGCUCGGAGCGGUCCUUUGUUUUCCACUGGAGCGGAAGGAGAGUGCUGCCAUGACGGCCCCUGCUCAGCCCAAGAAAAUCGUGGCCCCUACGGUGUCCCAGAUCAACGCGGAGUUCGUGACCCAGUUAGCUUGUAAAUACUGGGCUCCCCAUAUCAAGAAAAAAUCACCUUUUGACAUAAAGGUGAUUGAAGAUAUAUAUGAGAAAGAAAUUGUCAAAUCAAGGUUUGCCAUCAGAAAGAUAAUGCUCUUGGAAUUUAGCCAGUAUCUUGAAAAUUACCUCUGGAUGAAUUAUUCUCCAGAAGUGUCCAGCAAAGCCUAUUUAAUGUCAAUCUGCUGUAUGGUGAAUGAGAAGUUCAGAGAAAAUGUCCCUGCAUGGGAGACUUUUAAGAAGAAGCCAGAUGACUUCCCAUUCUUUUUCAAGUGUAUCUUGAAAGCGGCAUUAGCUGAAACUGAUGGUGAAUUUUCACUCCAUGAACAGACAGUCUUACUGCUUUUUCUUGAUCAUUGCUUCAAUAGUUUGGAAGUAGACUUGAUACGGAGUCAAGUGCAGCAGCUUAUCUCCCUUCCAAUGUGGAUGGGCUUACAGCCUGCACGAUUGGAAUUAGAAUUAAAAAAGACACCUAAACUAAGAAAAUUCUGGAACUUGAUUAAAAAGAAUGAUGAAAAGAUGGAUCCAGAAGCAAGAGAACAAGCCUAUCAAGAAAGAAGAUUUCUUUCACAGCUCAUCCAGAAGUUUAUCUCUGUGCUGAAAUCAGUUCCACUUUCUGAACCUGUCACUAUGGACAAAGUUCAUUAUUGUGAAAGAUUUAUUGAACUUAUGAUUGAUCUAGAGGCCCUACUCCCCACAAGACGCUGGUUUAACACCAUCCUGGAUGACUCCCACCUUUUGGUUCACUGUUACCUUUCCAAUCUUGUUCGUAGAGAAGAGGAUGGCCAUCUUUUUUCCCAGCUUUUGGACAUGCUUAAGUUCUAUACUGGUUUUGAGAUUAAUGAUCAGACUGGAAAUGCUCUGACAGAGAAUGAGAUGACUACGAUUCACUAUGAUAGAAUUACUUCUCUACAGAGAGCUGCUUUUGCACAUUUCCCUGAACUCUAUGAUUUUGCCCUCUCAAAUGUCGCAGAAGUAGAUACUCGGGAAUCCUUGAUCAAGUUUUUUGGACCUCUUAGUUCAAAUACACUCCACCAGGUGGCAUCAUACCUCUGCUUGUUACCAACUCUUCCUAAAGGUGAAGACACGACUUUUGAUAAAGAAUUUCUUCUAGAAUUGUUGGUAUCUCGUCAUGAGCGUCGAAUUUCUCAGAUUCAGCAGUUGAACCAGAUGCCUUUGUAUCCAACCGAGAAAAUCAUAUGGGAUGAAAAUAUUGUCCCAACUGAGUACUAUUCUGGGGAAGGUUGUCUUGCUCUUCCCAAGUUGAAUUUGCAGUUUUUGACUCUUCAUGAUUACCUCCUAAGGAACUUUAAUCUCUUCCGCUUAGAAUCAACUUAUGAAAUUAGGCAGGACAUCGAGGAUAGUGUCAGCAGAAUGAAGCCAUGGCAGUCUGAGUAUGGCGGGGUGGUAUUCGGUGGCUGGGCGCGAAUGGCCCAGCCCAUCGUGGCGUUCACCGUGGUGGAGGUUGCCAAACCCAGCAUAGGCGAGAACUGGCCAACCCGGGUUCGCGCAGAUGUCAGCAUCCAUCUGAACGUCAGAGACCACAUCAGAGAUGAGUGGGAAGGACUUCGGAAGCAUGAUGUAUGCUUUUUAAUUACUGUACGUCCCACAAAACCUUAUGGUACCAAGUUUGACCGGAGGAGACCUUUUGUUGAGCAGGUUGGCCUGGUUUAUGUCAGAGGCUGUGAGGUCCAGGGCAUGCUGGACGAUAAAGGGCGUGUCAUUGAAGACGGACCUGAACCCAGACCCAAUCUUAGAGGAGAAUCAAGGACAUUUAGAGUGUUUUUGGAUCCAAACCAGUAUCAACAAGAUAUGACCAAUACGAUACAAAAUGGAGCAGAAGAUGUGUAUGAAACUUUCAAUAUAAUAAUGAGGAGAAAACCGAAGGAAAAUAACUUUAAGGCUGUGCUGGAGACUAUUCGGAACCUGAUGAAUACUGAUUGUGUGGUACCUGACUGGCUGCAUGACAUCAUUUUAGGUUAUGGGGAUCCAAGUAGUGCACAUUAUUCCAAAAUGCCCAAUCAGAUCGCCACCCUUGAUUUCAAUGAUACAUUUUUCUCCAUUGAGCAUUUAAAAACCAGCUUUCCUGGUCAUAAUGUUAAAGUAACUGUGGAUGACCCAGCUCUACAGAUACCCCCUUUCAGGAUAACUUUUCCAGUAAGAAAUGGAAAGGGGAAGAAAAGGAAAGAUGCAGAGAAGGAAGAUGAAGACACUGAAGAGGCAAAAACCUUAAUUGUUGAACCUCAUGUUAUUCCUAAUAGAGGUCCUUAUCCUUACAACCAGCCCAAACGGAAUACAAUUCAGUUCACUCAUACACAGAUAGAGGCCAUCCGUGCUGGAAUGCAGCCUGGGCUAACUAUGGUUGUGGGCCCACCAGGUACAGGAAAAACAGAUGUGGCAGUCCAAAUCAUAUCCAACAUCUACCACAAUUUCCCAGAGCAGAGGACUCUGAUUGUUACUCAUUCCAAUCAGGCCCUGAACCAGUUGUUUGAGAAAAUCAUGGCUUUAGACAUUGAUGAGCGUCACCUCCUGCGUCUUGGUCAUGGAGAAGAAGAGCUGGAGACGGAGAAAGAUUUCAGCAGGUAUGGAAGAGUUAAUUAUGUCCUAGCUCGAAGAAUAGAACUUUUAGAAGAAGUCAAACGAUUGCAGAAGAGUCUAGGGGUUCCAGGAGAUGCGUCAUAUACUUGUGAAACUGCAGGCUAUUUCUUCUUAUAUCAGGUAAUGUCUCGUUGGGAAGAGUAUAUCAGCAAAGUGAAAAAUAAAGGUAACACGUUGCCAGAUGUUACUGAAGUCUCCACUUUCUUCCCUUUUCAUGAGUACUUUGCAAAUGCCCCUCAACCCAUUUUUAAAGGCCGAUCUUAUGAAGAAGACAUGGAAAUUGCUGAAGGAUGUUUCAGGCAUAUUAAGAAAAUCUUUACUCAGCUUGAGGAGUUUAGAGCCUCCGAACUGCUUCGAAGUGGACUAGACAGAUCUAAAUACCUUUUGGUGAAAGAAGCCAAAAUCAUUGCUAUGACCUGUACUCAUGCUGCCUUAAAACGACAUGAUUUAGUCAAGUUAGGCUUCAAGUAUGACAACAUUUUAAUGGAAGAGGCUGCUCAGAUUCUGGAGAUAGAAACUUUUAUACCUCUUCUUCUACAGAAUCCUCAGGAUGGUUUUAGCCGACUAAAACGUUGGAUUAUGAUUGGUGAUCAUCACCAGUUACCUCCAGUCAUUAAGAACAUGGCCUUUCAGAAGUAUUCAAACAUGGAGCAAUCUCUCUUCACUCGCUUUGUCAGAGUUGGAGUUCCUACUGUGGACCUCGAUGCCCAAGGGAGGGCCAGAGCAAGCUUGUGCAACCUCUACAACUGGCGAUACAAGAAUCUAGGAAACUUACCCCAUGUGCAGCUCUUGCCGGAGUUUAGUACAGCAAAUGCUGGCUUGCUUUAUGACUUCCAGCUCAUUAAUGUUGAAGAUUUUCAGGGAGUUGGAGAAUCUGAGCCUAAUCCUUACUUUUAUCAGAAUCUUGGAGAGGCAGAAUACGUAGUGGCACUUUUUAUGUACAUGUGCUUACUUGGUUACCCUGCUGACAAGAUUAGCAUUCUAACAACAUAUAAUGGACAAAAGCAUCUUAUUCGUGACAUCAUCAAUAGACGAUGCGGGAGCAAUCCAUUGAUUGGAAGACCAAAUAAGGUGACAACCGUUGACAGAUUUCAAGGUCAACAGAAUGAUUAUAUUCUUCUUUCUCUAGUACGAACCAGGGCAGUGGGCCAUCUGAGGGAUGUCCGUCGCUUAGUGGUGGCCAUGUCUAGAGCCAGACUUGGACUUUAUAUCUUCGCCAGAGUAUCCCUCUUCCAAAACUGUUUUGAACUAACUCCAGCUUUCAGCCAGCUCACAGCCCGCCCACUUCAUUUGCAUAUAAUUCCAACAGAACCUUUCCCAACCAGUAGAAAGAAUGGAGAGAGACCAUCUCAUGAAGUACAGAUAAUAAAGAAUAUGCCCCAGAUGGCAAACUUUGUAUACAACAUGUAUAUGCAUUUGAUACAGACCACACAUCAUUAUCAUCAGACUUUAUUACAGCUACCACCUGCUAUGCUAGAAGAAGGUGAAGAAGUUCAAAGUCAGGAAACAGAAUUGGAAACAGAAGAAGAGGCCACGCCUGCUCAAGCUGACAUUGUACCUAGUCUAACAGAUGCCAGCUCCAGUCAAGAAACCUCAGCCUCUCAGACUGAGACCAUCCCCAGUCACACAGGAGACAGUUCCAGUUCAGAGGCCAUCCCUACUGAAUCCGAGAUCACUGCUACUGUGGCAGAACCUGUAGCUGUACCAGCGGAGAAUAACACCCCUCAAGAUGCCACAUCCGCCCCCAGAGAAACCAAGUAGCCAAACUGUAGCCCUUCUUAGGGAGGACAUUUCAUUUAUAAAGUCUAGGUAAAGUUACCUUUUGUAUUUUACAUAUUCUUCUGCCAAUUUAAUGGUCCUUAUUUUUGUUAGCUGAUCUCAAUGUUUGUCUUCUGGUAUAUAUGAAAAAAGAAUGUGUGUGAACAACUCCAACUUUAUUUGUUCAGUCAGAAGAAUAAAUAACCAUUCCUUUGAUAUUUUGAUUAUUAAAUAACUAUAUCUAUAAUCAUACCUACAUUAGAAGAAUUUUCUACAGAGUAAUAGUUCACAUUUUUAGUGAACUUCGCUAAAGAAAAGGACAAAAUAUACUGGAAUUAACUACAAAUGACUUCAAGCAAGUGUCCAAAUUGGGGAGGAAAUCAUUUCUUCUACCAUAAUGUAAGAUGCUCAAGUCAUGUUUCUUUCUAUCCCUCCUUUCUUUGCUGUCUUCCUUGAUGGAAAGGCGUCAACACCAUAGGAUAUAAGUUGCUCCGAUCCAUUAAAGAAGACAUGCAUUUCCUUCCCCCAAAUCUCAGAAUGUGUAAAAUCACCUAGAAUGUCUCUUUAUUUUGGGGGCCACUCCAGGCCUAAUGAAUCAGAAUCUCAGGGUUAGAGCCUAGGAACCUGCAUUUUUAUUUUUGCAGGUGCUACACAAUUAAUGUUUGAGUUGCUGGCCGAAUGAUAUCAGAUAAGGCUGGUGAGGCUGGGCCAAGAUUUGUCAUUCAUCUAAGCAAGAAGGAUCUGGCAGAUCCAUUUGGGCAGGAACAAAGGUCCAGGGUCCGGGCAGUGAAAAUCAGUGAACUUAAUUAAUUCCUGUAUUCAGGAUGGAUUUCUUCCAAUGCAGAGCUUCUGAGUUUUCUGCCCUGUUUAGUUCUCUUGAUAGAUAACCAGCCAUAAGGAGACCUUAAGGUAAAAUGUGCUCCAGAUUUGGGAAGGCAUCUGUACUAGGACCUUGCUACUCAGGUGUGGUUUGCAAAUCAGCAGCAUCAGUGUUGCAUUGAAAUUUGCUAGAAAUGCAAAAGUUUGGGCUGUACCCCAGAUCUGUUAAAUCUCAAUCCGCAUUACAGCAAAGUCCCCAGGUGAUUCAAAUGCACUUUGUAGUUUUAGGAGCGCUGUACUGAGAUUACUGUGCCAUCCUCACAUCAGUGAGAGGUUGAAUGGUGAUCCUAUGAUGGUAGAGUUUACAGUGAGUAUGACUGUUUUCUGACAAUGGACCUCUGCUUAUAAGGUCCCUGGGCAUGGUGACCAGAGAAGAGAUGAAUGUAUGUAUGUGGGAAGGGUCAACUUGUCCACUAGUUCUCUUCCGCAUUCCCACAUCUGCUAGAGUUGCUAAGGGGAGCAUUUCCCCAAAUCUAGUGCAUCUACCUUUAGGCUUGACCGUGGCCAACGAACUUUUGAAGAAUUAAGCAAGCACUGCACACUGCCAGUGACCAGACCAGUGCUUCUCAUCUUGAUAUUUUGAAGCAAUGAUGAAUUCAUAAGGAAAUUAAACCCAGAACGUCAAGUCAAUGAUGUUUUUGAGUGACUAAUGUUUGCUUAAGUUUACCAGUCUAUGGUGGGUAAAAUUUAGACUCCUGUCUUACAGUGCUUCUUGCAGCAUCAACAAUUGUGUCGGGUGGGGAAGGGGACGAUGAAAGUGAUGGGAUAACAAGGGGAGUGAAAUGCCAAGGAAACGAAUGUAGGAAGCCUAGGUCUGUUUGUUAUCAGAGUUAGGAUGGAGCCAAAUGGUCUGUUACAUAAUUUCUCUGAGUAUAAGAAUUUGAAAGCAGGUGUCAUGGGCAUCUGUAUGAGGACUUGCACUCAGAAUUAUGUUCAUCUGUGAAUAUAUAGUAUCAGGCUAAGCAAGAGGGAAAGAAGCUUUACCAUAUUACUGUCUUUCCUGGAAAAGAUUGAUUUUUCCCUCUGCCCUUUGGAGGAAAUGACUCUGAGACCUGCAACCAAAGUAAAGCAAAACUGUUGUGCUGCUUUCUCCUUAAAUAAACCAUUUUCCUAACACUGUAUGUCACUCUGUCUAGCUGGGUGGCUGAACGUUUUUCUCUGCUGCUUGGUUUUCUAUCACACUGAAAAGAAAAUUUUAACUGGAAGAUGAAUAACUCCUUUGCCUCUGUCAAAUUAAGAAAGGGAUGAUGAAAGUGGGACUUGCAUUAUUUUAAAUUGUUUAUUCACUGGAAAGGCCAGUGAACUGCAAUUGACUAUAGAAUUGUGGAAUUUUUAAAGGAACUUAAGAGAUCUUUUCUAAACUUAAAUAAUGAGGAAACUGAAUCAGAUGGUCGUAACCAGGGUGGCAACUGUGGGAGACUGGGGUAGAAUCCAAUCUAUAGUCCAGGGCAGUUUUGUGCCUUUUUUUUUUAAUCAACCACACAUGAGUAAUUGCUUCAUAAAUUCAAAAUUUUUCCAUUUAAUUUGGGAUUACUACAGACACAGGUAUUCUACCCAGGUGACCAUUUCAGAUUAGUGUUCCCAUUGCUCUCCAUCCUGUUUUUCAUAUCCGAAUAUGUCGUGAUUUUGGAGUUUAUUUUUAAAAGCAGACCAAAAAGUCACAUGCCAAGAGAAAGAGCAUGAAAUGAAGCAAUUCAAGUAUUUAGCCUUUUUUUCACAAAAUGCUGAGUUAAGAAAGUACAUUACCAGCAGUUGGGAAUAAAUAGCUCUAUUGAUUUGGGCAAAUGAAUGAGAAGAUCUAAAUAUUAUCAGGUCUCUUGAAGUUAGUGCGAUGAUAAAAGUUGAUAUUUUGCUAGAUACUGAGAGAAAUGGUAUACAUGGGCCAUUUGUGCUCCUAUAAAAAAUGAAGUUUUUAUUAUCAGGGGACAACAUGAUAUUGUAAAACAGACUUUGGACUCAUCCAGACCUGACUCAAAUUGUACGUAAUUUGCUCAUCAGCAUUUGGUUUGACCUUGACAGGUGUUAUAACCUCUGUAAGUCACAGUUUUAUCUACAAAAUGGGGAAAAGAUCUGUUUGUUUGUUAAUGGGGUAAUGUUUAUGAAAACAUCUGGCACCUGGUUGCUUGGUAAAUACCAGUCCCACCCUCUGCAUUUUCCCCCAAAUCUUUGAGACAGUGUAGGAUAUUGCCAGCCAGUCCUCUGACUUGGGUGCGUAGCUAUGCCCCUAUCCAGGGAGUAUGGAGGAGGAUUAAGAAGGGAACACGUGGUGGCAGUUGACCUUUGAAGAUCAAGGGUCAAAUUUACUGAUUGGAAACCUCGAAAUCAGCCUAUGGCAGCAUUGAGGAUGGUCUCUGCUGAAAUUAAAAUUUCUAGCAGAACAGCAUACCCAGAUGGAGAUAGUAGGUACCAUUGUGCUUGGAUAUAUUGGUAACAUCAAUUCUGUAUCCUGUACUCCCCCACCCCGAGAUCAUCUAUAUUGUUGCACUUACCUAGCUUGACUGUGCUUUUUCCUUUUUAUCUUGUACUCACAUGGUAUUUUAGAGGUGUUUCUUCAAUUAAAAUAAGAUAAAAAAGAUUUUUUAAAGAACGCUGACCCUUUUGCAUGCACCAGAAGAGCAGUUAAAAACAAGCAGUGCCUUGCUUCCUGUGAAAAAUGCUUGGCAGUUAGCCUUUGUAAUUAUGAAGCAAUCAUGUUAAUAGAUGUUUAAGAAUAAUACAACUGGAGCUGAACAGAGCCAAGGAUGGAAAUGAGCACAUGAGACCAUUUUUUCUUUAUCCAUUGCUAUUCUUCAGUGCCCGAGAAGGGGUUUUAAUUCAGCGGUAACCAGAAGCUUUGGACAAUUUUUUUCUUCAUAGGGACAACCCUGAGCUCAGUCCCCUGGAGCAUGACUCAGAAUGCAGCACAGUUACUGCUGGCUGCCACCUUUAUUGCCAGCUCUACCUUUUGGCUUACACUUACUUCAUUAGCUACUUAAACUUCUGCACUUACAUAUAAAAGAUGGCUAAUCCCAGUAUUUCUCAACAUAUGUUACAAAACCACCCGUCUUCAAAAAUACUUUGAAAAACAUGUUCCAUGGUCAAAUAAGUUUGAGGAACACAAUUAAUUAUCAUUCCCCAUUUGCAGAAUAACAAUGCAUUGUUAGCUAAUUAAAGGUUCUUUCCUGCAGGAAAAAAUCAUGUUAACUUUGUUUAAUCUAGCAUUUGAUUAUCGCAAGCUUAUUUGACCAUAGAACUCUUUCUUUUUCUUUUUUUUUUUUUUUAAAUAAGACAUUCUAAAGAACUAGUUCCUCAGAACAGUUUGGGAGCCAGUAUUUUUACAUUAGCAAGUGAACUUUGAUUCCCCCUUAGAAAAUUAAGGGGAUAAGAAUAUACCAGCCCCAAUAUGCUACUUUGUCAUAAGGAUUAUUUUGAGCUGAAGGCAGUUGACAAACAGCAGAUGCAGAAAGUAUUCUCUGUCCUUGUGCUUCUGCCUAAAAGCAGGGCAUAAAUUUCCCUUUGUAAAGAUGACAUAAAUUUCCAUUUGUAAAGGUAUCCCCUCUCUCCUGUACCAGGAAGAAGACAACAACCCUUAUCACGGGACACAGAGAUGAUGCUGUGAAAUGAGUCUGCAUAAACAAACCUUACUAAAAUGACCCUUAUCUUCCAUUAAUUUCCCCGUGUAUUUACUUGCCCACAAUCUACCACCCCUAAAAGCCCAAACUCCCCCCCCUUAUUUUUUUGUCUAUUGACUUCUCCAUAAUUUAUUGUCCUUUGUUAAAAUGAUAUAUAAACUUCAAAGCCUAACAGCUUUUGGGGGGAGUUUUUACUUCUCUGUGUAGCCCCCCUGGAAGUAAAGUUAAAAACAUCAAUUAAAUUUGCAUGCUGUUUCUCCUAUUAAUUUGUCUUUUGACAGUUUAAUUCACAGGCCCCAGGUACAGACCUAAGAAGGUAAAGUCUUCCCUCCCCUACAAAAAUAAGACUUUAAUACAUCGUUUUUCCAUUAAGUAACCAGAGGCUAAAGUAGCACAGCUGAAGAAGAACGUAGAGGCGAAGUGAUUUGGACAAAAUGUCAUAUUAUAGUGUAAUUAACUGUUGAGUGUCACAUGGUAUUAAUAGCAACAUCCUGAAAAUACAAAUGAAUAAAAGUUUGAUCAAUGUACCAUGACAUUCAUUCGUGUGAGCCUUCUAAGAAAAGGUCACUGAGCAUUCUCUGUUUACAUUUUAAUUUUAGAGUCCAGGAUUUCACACUAACCUUUUCUCAUUUCUUACUGUGCAGUAGAAGGACAGUCCGUAUUUCCAGUGUGUCUUGUUUUCUCAGUUCUCUAAAUGUUUGUUUUCUUUAAAAGUCUGUUUCAAAAGGGGAAAAGAUUUAGCAUGGUAAAUAGGGGUGGACAAGAAAUAAUAGAAGAAAAUUUAGGCAAAUAUGAAGAAAUUUUCCUUAAAGAAGAGUGUAAGAGAAAGGACCCCAAAAGUUACCUUGCAUAGGACAUGUUGAAUUGUCUCUUGGUUGAUCUCCAGAGAUAAUCGUCCCCACCAUCCUCUUUCUCUCUAUCUUUGACUUACGUCGUACAUUCACCCAACACUCUUCUUGCAGUAAAUCUAAGUGCAAGAACCUCAAUGGUAACUGCUGCUCCUUGGGAGAUACCUUGUUUAAUAUAAAUGGCUCUUUUGAGAAACUGAUUUUAUUGACCUUUUUAAAAAAGUCAAGAGUUCUUGAUAGGAAGUGGUCGUAUAAAAUACCUUUUUCUACUCUCAUUCAUUGGUUCAUUUUGAGGGGAGUUUUCUUCUGGUUUUUAGUUCAGUUAUUUACAAUAAAUGUGGUUACUGUAUUAUGGUAUUUUCAUUACCCAUUUUCUUCUAGUAGCACUUUCCAGUGCUGAUUUCUUCUAAUCCCAGACUUCCCCAAGAAUAGUAGUGGAACAAGAAUAGAGCUAGUUAAUUUGCAUUUUAUUUUGCUGGUUGACUACUUUUCACAGAAGUGAAUUGAAUUAAAAAUAGUAAAAAGUUGGGGCUUCCCUGGUGGCACAGUGGUUGGGAGUCCGCCUGCCGAUGCACGGGACACGGGUUCGUGCCCCGGUCCGGGAGGAUCCCACAUGCUGCGGAGCGGCUGGGCCUGUGAGCCAUGGCUGCUGAGCUUGCGAGUCCAGAGCCUGUGCUCUGCAAUGGGAGAGGCCACUACAGUGAGAGGCCCGUGUACUGCAAAAAAAAAAAAAAAAAAUAGUAAAGAGUUGGAAGGUGUCUUUGAAACUAUCUAAUUCUUGUGCAUUCAUAGACUGAGUACCUACUGUAUGUCAGGCAACAAUGCCAUAGUUCAUAGGUGAGAACACUGAGGCAUUGGAUGGUUUGCCUAGGACACUAUGGUUAGUUGAACUGGGACCAGAACCACCAUCUGACAUUCAGGCAAAUUCCUUACCUUGCUGUUCUUUAAACUUAUUUGCUUGAAACAAAUCCAAGUAGAAGGAGCAACACUUAAUAUUUCACAGAUGAGCAAGGCAAGCCUACUAAAGAAUUCCUCUCAGGUUUAGAAUACCAGAGAGGAGACCAGGUUGCCAAAAUCAGGAUAGGAAAUAAGAGGUCUAUGAAAGAAUAUGCUUUAAUGUUACAGUGCUUAUACUUACAGGUGAAAGCCAAAUUAAUACUUGUUUUGGAUUGAAAAAGGUAUGAGAAACAUAUAAUGGGGAGGGGCUAUAGUAAGUAGUAUUUAAGUGCCAAAAUGUGAAUUAUCCUAACGCUGUUUUAGUUUUAGGCAAAGUCAGAACAGUUUAAAUAACAACAGUUUUAAAAGAAUGUAAUAUAUGAUAAGGGAAAAGUUAGAAUUUACCAAGACCUGUACUUUAAAUUGCCAUUAUAGGCAAACCUCAGAGAUAUUGUGGGUUCAUUCCAGACCGCUGCAAUAAAUUGAAUAUCACAAUAAAGAGAGUCACACUAAUUUUUUAGUUUCCCAGUGCAUAUAGAAGUUAUUUUUAUACUAUAUUGUAGUCUAUUAAGUAUGCUAAAUAGUAUUAUAUCUAAAAAGGCAUACAUACCUUAAUUUAAAAAUACUUUAUUGCAAAAAGAAAAAUGCUAACCAUCAUCUGAGCCUUCAGCGAGUCAUAAUCUUCUUGCAGUAAUAACAUGCAGGAUCCCAGAUCACCAUAAUAAAUAUAACAAUAAUGAAAAAGUUUGAAAUAUUGUAAGAAUUACCAAAAUGUGACACAGAGACACAAAGUGAGUAAAUGCCCAUGGGGAAGUGUUGCUGAUAGACUUACUUGACACAAGGUUGCUUCAAACCUUCAAUUUGUUAAAAACAUAGUAUCUACAAAACAAUAAAGUGAAGUGCAAUAAAAUGAGGAAUGCCUGGUUCAGCCUUCCAGUUUAACUCUACCUGCCGCAAACCCAACGUUAGCACAUUUGGGAGCUGAAAAGAACAUCUGUGUGAGCUAAAGUUCCCAGGAGCAAACGUCUGUUUCUAAAACAACUCAAAGCAAGACGCUCUUAUGCAAUUACAGAAAUCAGUUGCGGUUUUUUAGAGGUCGCCAUUGCAACUCUUGGUCUAGUUGGGCUCAUUAAAUGAAUGGGCUCAUCUGAGCAAGUAGAGAAUGUGUUUCCUCUGCAGAAAUACAGUCGUAGCUUUGGUGAAAAGACUCAUGAAUGUCAACUGUCAUUGACACUUGAGAAAUUAAAUUGGUCAAGUGGUUCUCUUAAAUUGACAUGGUACUAUGAAUAUUGGGCAUGGGUAGUUUGGCCUGCUUUUGAGCUACAUAAAAAUGGAAUCGUACAAAAUGUACUUUUUUUUGUCUGCCUUCUCACAUAGAUUGUAAUAACAUGAGGUAGGAAUCAAGAUUAACUGAGCACUAUUUAUUAGAUCAUUCUUUCUCUCAACACUAUACUGUAAUCUUUGUCAUAAAUCAAGUAAUUGUAUAUGUGUGGGUCUGUUUCUGGAAUUGUUCCAUUGGUAUAGUUUUCUUGUGCCAACAUUUAACUGUCUUAAUUACUGUAGCUUUACAUUAAACCUUGACAUCUGGUUGUGUAUUCUCCCUUAGCUAUAUUCUUCAAGAUAUUGGCCACUCUUAAUCUGUGUAUACACUUUAGAAUCAUCCCAUCAAUUCUAAAAAAAAGUGAAAAAAAACUUGCUUGGAUUUUUAUUGGGAUUGUAUUGAUUCUAUAGGUCAAUUUGGAGGAAAACUGAUGUCUUUAUCAUUUAGGAAUAUGGUGUUUCUUUCCAUUUACUUAAGCAUUCUUUAAUCUCAAUAAUGUUUUGUAGUUUUCUAGAUAAAGGUUUUGGCCAUCUUUUGUUAAAUUUAUUCAUAUUUGAUUUUUUAUGCUACUAUAAAUGGUACUUUUAAAACUA
Molecule: RNA transcript, 12851 nt
Organism: Orcinus orca (killer whale)
Lineage: Eukaryota; Metazoa; Chordata; Mammalia; Artiodactyla; Delphinidae
Gene: AQR
Gene name: aquarius intron-binding spliceosomal factor
Exons: 36
Source: RefSeq, a predicted model, not a curated record